RNAcentral lists this ribosomal RNA (421 nucleotides) under uncultured bacterium. RNAcentral's name for it is "bacterial SSU rRNA". It matches the Rfam family "Bacterial small subunit ribosomal RNA", at positions 355 to 774 of the family's 1533-position model. The record is from RNAcentral.
UGAGGAAUAUUGGACAAUGGGUGAAAACCUGAUCCAGCCAUGCCGCGUGCAGGAAGACGGCCCCAUGGGUUGUAAACUGCUUUUGUAUGGGAGCAAUAAGCUCUACGUGUAGAGUGAUGAGAGUACCAUACGAAUAAGCAUCGGCUAACUCCGUGCCAGCAGCCGCGGUAAUACGGAGGAUGCGAGCGUUAUCCGGAUUUACUGGGCGUAAAGGGUGAGUAGGUGGUAACUUAUGUCAGGUGUGAAAUGUCAAAGCUCAACUUUGUCACGCACUUGAAACUGAGAUACUUGAGUGCAGGAGAGGUAAGCGGAAUUCCUAGUGUAGCGGUGAAAUGCGUAGAUAUUAGGAGGAACACCAGUGGCGAAGGCGGCUUACUGGACUGUAACUGACGCUGAUGCUCGAAAGUGUGGGUAUCAAACA